GGAUUAUGGCAAGUAAUUGCAUCAGGCCAGACUCGAUCGUUUGAAGCAACAGUGCCUAUCAAAGAUUCUCAUUUAGUCGUCCUCUACUGAAGUUCAAAAAACAUGGCAGAAUUUAAAGUUGUUAGGGAGAAUAGUGGUCAUUGUAUUUCAAUGUAGCAUUUUCCAUGUAUUUACCAUUUUUUAACUUUGUAAUGAUCCAUGGAGCCACGCCAUUUGCGGACUACCAUUCAAUCAAUA
Molecule: long non-coding RNA, 237 nt
Filed under: Lathyrus oleraceus (garden pea)
Lineage: Eukaryota; Viridiplantae; Streptophyta; Magnoliopsida; Fabales; Fabaceae
Description: Pisum sativum (pea) long non-coding RNA (PSAT_LNC027437)
Source: RNAcentral